This 467-nucleotide ribosomal RNA is filed under the name uncultured bacterium. RNAcentral's name for it is "partial 16S ribosomal RNA". It matches the Rfam family "Bacterial small subunit ribosomal RNA", at positions 28 to 506 of the family's 1533-position model. The record is from RNAcentral.
GACGAACGCUGGCGGCGUGCUUAACACAUGCAAGUCGAACGGAAAGGCCCUGCUUUUGUGGGGUGCUCGAGUGGCGAACGGGUGAGUAACACGUGAGUAACCUGCCCUUGACUUUGGGAUAACUUCAGGAAACUGGGGCUAAUACCGGAUAGGAGCUCCUGCUGCAUGGUGGGGGUUGGAAAGUUUCGGCGGUUGGGGAUGGACUCGCGGCUUAUCAGCUUGUUGGUGGGGUAGUGGCUUACCAAGGCUUUGACGGGUAGCCGGCCUGAGAGGGUGACCGGCCACAUUGGGACUGGGAUACGGCCCAGACUCCUACGGGAGGCAGCAGUGGGGAAUAUUGCACAAUGGGCGGAAGCCGGAGGCAGCAACGCCGCGUGCGGGAUGACGGCCUUCGGGUUGUAAACCGCUUUCGCCUGUGACGAAGCGUGAGUGACGGUAAUGGGUAAAGAAGCACCGGCUAACUACGU